This 266-nucleotide ribosomal RNA is filed under the name uncultured bacterium. RNAcentral's name for it is "partial 16S ribosomal RNA". It matches the Rfam family "Bacterial small subunit ribosomal RNA", at positions 123 to 406 of the family's 1533-position model. The record is from RNAcentral.
AAUCUGGCUUCAGGUCUGGGACAACCACUGGAAACGGUGGCUAAUACCGGAUGUGCCGAGAGGUGAAAGGUUAACUGCCUGAAGAUGAGCUCGCGUCUGAUUAGCUAGUUGGUAGUGUAAUGGACAACCAAGGCGACGAUCAGUAGCUGGUCUGAGAGGACGAUCAGCCACACUGGGACUGAGACACGGCCCAGACUCCUACGGGAGGCAGCAGUGGGGAAUUUUCCGCAAUGGGCGAAAGCCUGACGGAGCAAUACCGCGUGAGG